This 98-nucleotide signal recognition particle RNA is filed under the name Bacillota bacterium. RNAcentral's name for it is "Firmicutes bacterium (anaerobic digester metagenome) signal recognition particle sRNA small type". It matches the Rfam family "Bacterial small signal recognition particle RNA". Rfam says of the family: The signal recognition particle (SRP) is a universally conserved ribonucleoprotein involved in the co-translational targeting of proteins to membranes. Lineage: Bacteria; Bacillati; Bacillota. The record is from RNAcentral.
CCUCGGGCCUCGUACGACGUUGCCCUGUGAACCUCGUCAGGAUCGGAAGAUAGCAGCGAUAAGCAGUCCGCGCGGGUGAUACGAGUCGUCUGAGUGAG